CGGGAAGAGCUCAAAUUUAAAAUCUGGCAGCCUUGUGUUGUCCGAGUUGUAAUUUGCAGAGGGCGCUUUGGCGUUGGCAGCGGUCCAAGUUCUUUGGAACAGGACGUCACAGAGGGUGAGAAUCCCGUACGUGGUCGCUAGCCUUCGCCGUGUAAAGCCCCUUCGAC
Molecule: ribosomal RNA, 167 nt
Filed under: Phaeosphaeria sp.
Lineage: Eukaryota; Fungi; Ascomycota; Dothideomycetes; Pleosporales; Phaeosphaeriaceae
Description: partial large subunit ribosomal RNA
Rfam family: Eukaryotic large subunit ribosomal RNA
Source: RNAcentral